UGGUUGGAGGUAAGUCAAUUCUAGCACGUGUGGCGAUGAUGGAAGAAUUCGCGAAUAGCUUGAGUCAAGGAAGAUCGAUCAUGCGUCUGGGGAGGUUUACAUAUGUGUGGAUACCACUGAUCAACCACGUGCUGACAAAAGAGAUGAA
This 148-nucleotide non-coding RNA is filed under the name Partenskyella glossopodia. The record is from RNAcentral. Lineage: Eukaryota; Cercozoa; Chlorarachniophyceae.